CUGGGUUACGGACCUCUGCCUGCUCUGACCCUGAGCCUGCCUGCCUUUCUGUACCUUACUGACUCUGCCCUGGGUUGCGGACCUCUGCCUGCUCUGACCCUGAGCCUGCCUGCCUUUCUGUACCUUUCUGACUCUGCCCUGGGUUACGGACCUCUGCCUGCUCUGACCCUGAGCCUGCCUGCCUUUCUGUACCUUUCUGACUCUGCCCUGGGUUACGGACCUCUGCCUGCCCCCUGUUUUUGUCAAUAAACAUCUGUGAUUCUAACUGUCUGCUCUGGGUCUUAUGCUGGGUCGUGAGAGAGAGAAAAUGAUGGAGCUGAAGAAAGGUAUGGGAUUUUGACUGUUAGUGUGACAUGGAGAGAGAUCACAAUAGGAGAGAAAAGAGAGCUACAUGAAGAGUGGAAAGGGAAGAGGUUGACUGGAGUGCGAUGAUGAGAGAGAGAGAUACAUAAAGAGAGGAAGUAGAGGGAAAGGGAGGAGGUUGACUGGAGAGAGAUGAUGAGAGAGAUACAUAAUGAGAGGAUAUAGAGGGAAAGGGAGGAGGGUGACUGGAGAAUGAUGAGAGAGAGAUACAUGUAGAGGGAAAGGGGGGAGGUUGACUGGAGAACGAUGAUGAGAGAGAGAGACAUAAUAAGAAAAACUAGAGGGAAAGGGAGGAUGUUGACUUGAGUACGAUGAUGAGGAGAAGAAGAGAUGGUGCUAGCUCUUGAACUUGAGUGUUGAAAUGAGGCCUCACAGACAUGCCGGACAGAGGCUGGGGACCUGUUAACUGAAUGAUGUAAUAGUCUGGGGGCCUGUUAACUGAAUGGUGUAAUAGUCUGGGGGCCUGUUAACUGAAUGGUGUAAUAGUCUGGGGGCCUGUUAACUGAAUGGUGUAAUAGUCUGGGUGACCUGUUAACUGAAUGGUGUAAUAGUCUGGGGGCCUGUUAACUGAAUGGUGUAAUAGUCUGGGGGCCUGUUAACUGAAUGGUGUAAUAGUCUGGGGGCCUGUUAACUGAAUGGUUUAAUGACCGUGACUAGUGGCCUUAAAGGAGAGGUGGUGACUACAACCAUGACUAUUGACCUUAAAGGAGAGGUUGUGACUACAACCAUGACUAGAGACCUUAAAGGAGAGGUGGUGACUACAACCAUGACUAGUGACCUUAAAGGAGAGGUUGUGACUACAACCAUGACUAGUGACCUUAAAGGAGAGGUUGUGACUACAACCAUGACUAGAGACCUUAAAGGAGAGGUUGUGACUACAACCAUGACUAGUGACCUUAAAGGAGAGGUUGUGACUACAACCAUGACUAGAGACCUUAAAGGAGAGGUUGUGACUACAACCAUGACUAUUGACCUUAAAGGAGAGGUGGUGACUACAACCAUGACUAGUGACCUUAAAGGAGAGGUGGUGACUACAACCAUGACUAGAGACCUUAAAGGAGAGGUUGUGACUACAACCAUGACUAGUGACCUUAAAGGAGAGGUGGUGACUACAACCAUGACUAGUGACCUUAAAGGAGAGGUUGUGACUACAACCAUGACUAGUGACCUUAAAGGAGAGGUGGUGACUACAACCAUGACUAGUGACCUUAAAGGAGAGGUGGUGACUACAACCAUGACUAGUGACCUUAUAGGAGAGGUUGUGACUACAACCAUGACUAGAGACCUUAAAGGGGAGGUGGUGACUACAACAUCUUAGAGUGUCAUGGAUGACAUGGAAAAGAAGCAGAG
RNAcentral lists this long non-coding RNA (1713 nucleotides) under Salmo salar (Atlantic salmon). Its description in RNAcentral is "lncRNA (ENSSSAG00000115118.1)". The record is from RNAcentral. Lineage: Eukaryota; Metazoa; Chordata; Actinopteri; Salmoniformes; Salmonidae.